RNAcentral lists this transfer RNA (67 nucleotides) under Cellana toreuma. RNAcentral describes it as "tRNA-Met". The record is from RNAcentral. Lineage: Eukaryota; Metazoa; Mollusca; Gastropoda; Nacellidae.
ACUAAAGUAAGUUACUUAAAACUAGCGGGCUCAUACCCCGUCCACACGCAAUUUAGCGUCUUUAGUU